This is a long non-coding RNA of Branchiostoma floridae (Florida lancelet), 359 nucleotides long. RefSeq lists it as uncharacterized. The transcript is spliced from 3 exons. The record is from RefSeq and is a predicted model, not a curated record. Lineage: Eukaryota; Metazoa; Chordata; Leptocardii; Amphioxiformes; Branchiostomatidae.
UUAUUAUAGAUAAUGUCGUUGAGUCACGUGACCUGUUCGACAUUUGACACUCGGGUCACGUGACUACCAUCAGAUCAGAAGAAAGAUGGCGGGUGGUUUCUGACAGCUCUUAUAUCGUCGCCAACUUUGGUCCUUCCUACCCAACGCUUGGAACGAGGGAAUGGAUCUCCACUCGAACUUCAGCUCUUUCCAGUCCAUGCCUCCUCGCAGGGUCUGAGCUUCCAGGACAGACGACGUUGGUCCUGUUCUGUCUGAUCCUGUCCAGUAGCGGCUCCAGCCAGCCCACGUUACACUCGAUAUGGGAGUCCAGGAACGUCAGGACUGUACCACUGGCGGCGGCUACAAAUAGAACGCAAAAA